RNAcentral lists this ribosomal RNA (143 nucleotides) under uncultured bacterium. Its description in RNAcentral is "partial 16S rRNA". It matches the Rfam family "Bacterial small subunit ribosomal RNA", at positions 355 to 511 of the family's 1533-position model. The record is from RNAcentral.
UGGGGAAGUUUUCCGUCAAUGGGCGAAAGCCUGACGGAGCAAUGCCGCGUGGAGGUGGAAGGCCUACGGGUCGUCAACUUCUUUUCUCGGAGAAGAAACAAUGACGGUAUCUGAGGAAUAAGCAUCGGCUAACUCUGUGCCAG